UUUCGCUAGCGCCGGCCACUUUGCUCUUUAGUAAAUCUGCCCCAUUGCCUGUGUGAUUUCUUGCUCUAAAUCCUCCAGUUCCCUUGGGCCAUGACUUCUCUCCUGCCCGGGAUAUCAUGUUUAUGUCAGUCAUUAUGGCAGCAUUCAGCCCCAUUUUCCUGCACUGCAAAGUCUCCAUAACAUCAUUCUCACGGCUGCCAUUAUUUUAAAACAGACUCUCUCUAACUCCCUUACCCCCAACCUGAGGAUUCAGGGCCCAAGUUCUGUUUGCUGCAUUCAUUACUAUUAUUAACUUUAUCAUUAUUGGCCCUGAGGGGCCCAUUGCCAUCAGACGAAAUCUGCAGAAAGUUUUACCUCACCUGCUCUGUAGAAGUUCAUUUACAGUGCCUUCCCUCACACACCUGAUUCAGCGCCAUCUUAGAUUCCACUCUGGCUGACCUGCAGCUGCCUGACCUUCCUCCCAGCAGCCUCUUGGGUUCCCCUGGAGUCUAUCUAUGCAGGGGGUUACACAGCCUGAAGGUCCAGAGGGAUCCAACCUCAAAGCAACAUCACUAGAAGGUUCACUGGGGAUUUCUGUCAGGCUUAUGACACAUUUUCCCUCAUCCAAGAUGGCUGCAGAUACCUCAACCCUUCUCCUCCAUUAUGUUUCCUGUCAGCAACACAGACAGCCUUGAGGUAAAACAAAACAAAAUCCAGCCAACCGGACGCUGUGAAAGAGACACCUGUAGACGUUAUCCGACUUCAUUGUUGCGCACAAUAGCAUCCCUGCAGCCAUGGAAAGCCUUUUCCGGAUCUGUACUGUCCAUUUGGAUCCAGAGGAAGAUGAGAUUUCUUACAUAACAGUAAAUAUAAGCGCAGACACAAGGCCUCUGUAUAUCAACCAUAUGUGUUAUAUAAAUUAUAAUGGAGCAUCUCAGAAUUGUGCAAAGGAGUGGGCAGAGCUUGCAAAAAAUUCAGUUUAUUUGGUGAGGCUGCUGUUUAAUUUGGCUGAAAUUAUGAGUGGCCAGUGAUUGAAUCACACCAGGGCUGGACCAAGUAGCCAAUGUUACCCUGACUAGCACUCCAAACCACUCACUUACCUUCCACUAGGCUGCUCGAUUUGCACCCCACCAUUACCCCACACAUAAUUCCUGCUGGUCUCUCCCUUCUGCUUAGAUCACUCCCUUUCCAAUUAUGCCACCACCAAAUUGUCCCCAAGG
Molecule: long non-coding RNA, 1199 nt
Organism: Xenopus laevis (African clawed frog)
Lineage: Eukaryota; Metazoa; Chordata; Amphibia; Anura; Pipidae
Exons: 2
Source: RefSeq, a predicted model, not a curated record